Molecule: long non-coding RNA, 461 nt
Organism: Dama dama (fallow deer)
Lineage: Eukaryota; Metazoa; Chordata; Mammalia; Artiodactyla; Cervidae
Exons: 3
Source: RefSeq, a predicted model, not a curated record
CGAGCCCCCCGGCCAGCCUGGAGGGCACUCUGCCUUCUUCUUUUGGAGUCGGAACCAGAUGCCCCCGGUGCUCAGGGCCUGCCAGGACCCCCGAGGAGACCGCCACAGGCUGAGGUCACAGGAUCCCCUUCCCAGCACUGCAGCUCGAAAACGGGUACAACCCUGGUGACCUGUCUCUGCCCCCCAGCUGGCGGGGCAGGAGUGGCCGCAGGAUGAGGCUGCCCAACGCCGGAGCACAGACACAGGGUGAGGUCGCAGGACGGACAGACCCCCUGUGAGUCCAGCCACCAGCUCAGGUCCGUGGUGUCCCCGAAACCAGCCCGAGGGGUGGUGACUUCUGCACAGUCCAGUCUCCACGCCUUGCCUCCGAAGCAGCCACUCACGGCGCCCCGCCCAUCCAGGAGCCGGAGUGCCGGCCCUGUCUGGAGCCAAGCAGUGCUGCCGUCUCGGGGGGCCACACG